UGGCGGACGGGUGAGGAAUACAUCGGAAUCUACUCUGUCGUGGGGGAUAACGUAGGGAAACUUACGCUAAUACCGCAUACGACCUACGGGUGAAAGCAGGGGAUCUUCGGACCUUGCGCGAUUGAAUGAGCCGAUGUCGGAUUAGCUAGUUGGCGGGGUAAAGGCCCACCAAGGCGACGAUCCGUAGCUGGUCUGAGAGGAUGAUCAGCCACACUGGAACUGAGACACGGUCCAGACUCCUACGGGAGGCAGCAGGG
RNAcentral lists this ribosomal RNA (257 nucleotides) under uncultured Stenotrophomonas sp. Its description in RNAcentral is "partial 16S ribosomal RNA". It matches the Rfam family "Bacterial small subunit ribosomal RNA", at positions 96 to 354 of the family's 1533-position model. Lineage: Bacteria; Pseudomonadati; Pseudomonadota; Gammaproteobacteria; Lysobacterales; Lysobacteraceae. The record is from RNAcentral.